RNAcentral lists this ribosomal RNA (499 nucleotides) under uncultured bacterium. Its description in RNAcentral is "bacterial SSU rRNA". It matches the Rfam family "Bacterial small subunit ribosomal RNA", at positions 28 to 521 of the family's 1533-position model. The record is from RNAcentral.
GACGAACGCUGGCGGCGUGGAUUAGGCAUGCAAGUCGAACGGUAUCAUCCUUUCGGGGGUGAGAGAGUGGCGAACUGGUGAGUAACACGUAGGUUAUCUACCCUCAAGACGGGGACAACCCAGGGAAACUUGGGCUAAUACCGGAUGUGAGCAACUUUUAGUUGUUUGAAAGGUGGCGUAAGCUGUCGCUUGGGGAUGAGCCUGCGUCCUAUUAGUUAGUUGGUGAGGUAACGGCUCACCUAGGCAAUGAUAGGUAGGCGGCCUUAACGGGUGGUCGCCCACACUGGGAUUGAGAUACGGCCCAGACUCCUACGGGAGGCAGCAGUCGAGAAUAGUCUACAAUGGUCGGAAGACUGAUAGUGCGACGCCGCGUGAACGAUGAAUCCCUUCGGGGUUAAAGUUCUUUUAUAUGUGAGCAGUGCUUCUUAUAUUAACAGUAUGGGGAAGAGAUAUUAGCAUAUGAAUAAGCAACGGCUAACUCCGUGCCAGCAGCCGCGGU